CUACUAAAUCCAUCUUAUCUACCCCCUUUAGGAGGUGGUCUGCUCUAUAAAGAAAUGUAACCCACCCUCCCCUACAGAUACGCUGCACCUUGACCUGUCUUUAGGGGGUUCCUAUUUACCUUAACCUCUAGGUUAGAAGUUAGACGGCGAUAUACUAACAUACUGUAGGUAGGGUUGGCGGGUGGUAUCGAUUAUGGGGCAGGUUCCUCUAGCUAAAUAGGGUGCCGCCAAAUUCUUUGGGUUUGGAGGACAUAACAAAUACUACCCACUCUACCUAUUUACCUCUCUAUAGCUGGGUAUCUAAUCCAAGUUUA
RNAcentral lists this ribosomal RNA (314 nucleotides) under Faucheria faucheri. RNAcentral describes it as "partial 12S ribosomal RNA". The record is from RNAcentral. Lineage: Eukaryota; Metazoa; Arthropoda; Malacostraca; Isopoda; Cirolanidae.